RNAcentral lists this ribosomal RNA (484 nucleotides) under uncultured bacterium. Its description in RNAcentral is "partial 16S ribosomal RNA". It matches the Rfam family "Bacterial small subunit ribosomal RNA", at positions 30 to 507 of the family's 1533-position model. The record is from RNAcentral.
AUUGAACGCUGGCGGCAGGCCUAACACAUGCAAGUCGAGCGGAUGAAGGGAGCUUGCUCCUGGAUUCAGCGGCGGACGGGUGAGUAAUGCCUAGGAAUCUGCCUGGUAGUGGGGGAUAACGUCCGGAAACGGGCGCUAAUACCGCAUACGUCCUGAGGGAGAAAGUGGGGGAUCUUCGGACCUCACGCUAUCAGAUGAGCCUAGGUCGGAUUAGCUAGUUGGUGGGGUAAAGGCCUACCAAGGCGACGGUCCGUAACUGGUCUGAGAGGAGGAUCAGUCACACUGGAACUGAGACACGGUCCAGACUCCUACGGGAGGCAGCAGUGGGGAAUAUUGGACAAUGGGCGAAAGCCUGAUCCAGCCAUGCCGCGUGUGUGAAGAAGGUCUUCGGAUUGUAAAGCACUUUAAGUUGGGAGGAAGGGCAGUAAGUUAAUACCUUGCUGUUUUGACGUUACCAACAGAAUAAGCACCGGCUAACUUCGUG